UGCGCUAAAAUUGUAUAAUAAUUUUUUAAAGUGAUUAUUAUGCUGUAAAUUCUGCAUUGAAUUGCACUGGUUGCCGGUUCAAAGAUGUCGUCAUUGUAACAAUAUUUCUCUUUAAACUCUUUUUCUAGGGGUAGAGGUCCCAAUGAAGGUGACUCCUCUCGUGUUGUAAUUUUUAAAAAGAAGACAUUUAGGCCAGGGACCAAACCUCCUAAGAGGUCCCCACGGCUAGGUGGCGCGUGGGGUAUGUAGGACUGAUCCGCAACUUUGAACCGCGGGCGCAAGUAUUUUAGGGCUUCGAGUUAUGCCUCAAGGUUUGGUGAGGGCGUAAGUGCUAACUACAAUCUCCGGGAAACGUACAUAGUGUAAAAUAAAUCGCAGUAAUGUCAUAACUUAAAUACUUAGAAAGUUUACAAUAAUAAUAAUAAUAGGUUUUCAAUUUAAAAUACCGUGAAACUGUUAUUAAUUAUAUACUGUGGUAAUUAUGAGUCAUAAUAAUUAACGUUUUAUUUAUUGGUCAAAAUAAUAAUUGUUCGAUCCUUUUUCUUCCUGUAAGUGUGAUCGGGAAACCUCUACUAUAUUUGAUCAUUCGUUUUUUCGUAUACAAAGGAAGCAUCUGACAGAAACUUCAUAGAAGACUUAUCAACAUAGAUGCCUUUUUUUAUUUUUCUAAUUUUUAUUCUUUCUAAUUUUAUUCUAUUCGUCCCAUUGACUCAUCUGAGAAGUGAAACAUUGUAAUAGAUUAGGGAAUUUAGCGAAACACUUAUCAAGUCAAGAGAGGUGUUGAUGGAUUUUAAGGAGGUAGUGCACGCAUGAAUAGUCACCACAUUCUACAUAUUUCUAUUACCAAGCAGUUUUACGUUCCGGGUUGAAGGGUGCGAAAAUAGUGCAAUAUAAUUAAGACUUUAAUCCCGUGUCGUCAGGUGGUAAUUGUAUUCGAAUCU
This is a long non-coding RNA of Bombyx mori (domestic silkworm), 941 nucleotides long. RefSeq lists it as uncharacterized. NCBI's taxonomy places the organism in Eukaryota, Metazoa, Arthropoda, Insecta, Lepidoptera, Bombycidae. The record is from RefSeq and is a predicted model, not a curated record. The transcript has 2 exons.